AAACCAUGAUGGGGGCAAAGCCUAAGCAUUUCUUUGAAACGCUCCCACGCAUCGUAAAGAGAUUCCCCCAUCUUUUUGAGUGAAUCGUGUGAUUUGAUCCCUUAAUUG
Molecule: small nucleolar RNA, 108 nt
Filed under: Medicago truncatula (barrel medic)
Lineage: Eukaryota; Viridiplantae; Streptophyta; Magnoliopsida; Fabales; Fabaceae
Description: snoRNA gene35390
Rfam family: Plant small nucleolar RNA R71
About the family: R71 is a member of the C/D box family of snoRNAs containing the C (UGAUGA) and D (CUGA) box motifs. Multiple nearly identical copies of this snoRNA have been identified in Arabidopsis, and it is thought to function as a 2'-O-ribose methylation guide for 18S ribosomal RNA.
Source: Rfam by way of RNAcentral